This 5004-nucleotide long non-coding RNA is filed under the name Homo sapiens (human). RNAcentral describes it as "non-protein coding TRHDE-AS1:14". The record is from RNAcentral. Lineage: Eukaryota; Metazoa; Chordata; Mammalia; Primates; Hominidae.
AGGCCACUUAUCGCUGGCUCUGGCCUUGGCAACCUCCACCCCCGUCCCGGUCCUCUCAGCCUAUCUCUGGAAACCACUCUUUUCACUCCGAAUCUCAACUUGAAGUUUGGGGAAACUUGACGCAGCCAAAGCCCAUCCUCUGCUCUGCACCUGGCAGGAGACUAAUAGUCAGGGAAGAUGGGCAUGUUGUGGGUGGGGGUGGAGAACGGUGUGUCCCUGACCUGCCCUGACAUGCUAACCUGGAUGCGCUGUUGUCUUGGCCUUCAGCGCCACGUAUUUUCCCUCGACAGUAACUUGGCAAGCUUUUCAUGUCACUCUGGCAUCGCUCAGAUUAUCAGCUACCCUUCAGAAAAAGAGCCCUGCGUUUCGAUGGCUAAGGAACUCUGACAGGAAGAGGAGAGGUCCCGACUAGAGGAGGGGGCAGCAUUCAUCUUUUGGCACCGGUGAGUCAGUUUGCGAAGUUGGCGGCAGCGAGACCCCGAGGCAUCUGGGAGACCCCGGAGUUCUGACUGCCCUACUCCGCUUUCGUUUCCUUCCCCCCACCCCUGGCUUCCCGGGUAUUGGAAGCCAGCUGGGUCCCCGGGGUCGCAGGCCGCCCAGAGGUUCGAGCCGCGCGCCGGGGUGGGGCAGCGCGGGGCACCGCCUCCCUCCAUACCUUCUCUCCCCGUGGAGCACAUAGGAGCUGCGGAAGAAGCCCAGGAGCUCAUUCUCGAUGAGCGCGUUGUAGAUAAUCUUCAGAUUGUAAUUCCUCUGCGCGUCCAGUGUCCUAUUCAGCACCACCACUAAGACCUGGGUUUGCGGGUAGAGGAAAAAACCGGCUACAGGGACAGCCCCGAACGCCCGGUCCUCGGCCAGCUGCACUUUCUCCACCGCCACUCGGGAAGCGUGCAGCACUACGUAGCGGGUGGCGUUCCGGCACGCGAUCUCCACGUUGACCUCCCCGGAGAAGGUGAAGUUCUCCAUGAAGGCGGUGAGCAUCAGAUUGUAGUGCAGCGGCUUCAGGUGGCCCGACAGGCGCAGCUGCGUCCACGGCUCCCACGGCUCCCGCUCCUCCUCCGACGGCGGCUGGGCCGACGUGGUCCCCGGACUGGCCACCCCACCCGCCUCGGGCUGCCAGGAGUCCCCGCCUGCGUGGUGGUUGCGCCGGGCCGAUCCAGGGAGGCUCCCGUUGCCGCCGCGCUCCGGAAAGCCUGAGGGGCCACCGUCGGCGCCUGGCGUGGCACUCGCCCCGCACUCGUCGAAGCGCAGGCUGAGCAGCACAGCGAGCAUUGUGACCGCGAGCAAUGCCACGAGGGACACAGCGAAGGCCAGCACAAGCCGCUUGUGUACGGCGAUGUGGCGCUCCGUGGUGCGGGGUCGCACUCCCACUGAGUCUGCCCACGGGUCGGAGAGCCCCCUGCUGCCAGCCCGAAGCGCGGCGUCGUCUUCCCCCAUCGCGGCUGCGAAGGGUGAGCUGCUCUUCUCGGCCCCCUCCUCCUCCUCCUCCUCCUCCUUCUUCUUCUUCCUCUUCUUUUUCUUCUUCUUUUUCUUCUCCUCCUCUUGCUCCCCCAGCUCGCCGUCCAGGGCCAUCACACCGCCUCCUCCUCCUCCCCCGCCCCCUCUGGCACCCCCCGCGGGCGGGCCACCCGGGCCACAGCCAGAGCAGGCAUCGGAGAGCUCACGCGGGCCGAGGGCGCGCGACUGGGGAUGCUGGCCCGGGUUCUUUUAAGACGGGUUCUGGACACAAGCGACGGCAGCUUCCGCGACCCCCAUCAGCCCCGCCUCACUCUGGACACCGGGCUGUGAGCUCUGGGACGCGCCCAACUUGGAAAGCGUCUUGCUUGCCCAGCGCGCGCUACUUCUCGGACGAGCACCCGGCGGCGGGGCACAUGCUGCCCCCGCCCCUGCGCGCCUGCGGCUCCCGGCUCUCCCUCCCCUGCGCCGCGCUCUCGCCUCGCUUUCCGCGGGAGCCUUCCAACCGGUUCUCGGCUAGGGAGAAGGACGGGAGCGGUGGGAAGAGCGAGGGUGUAGAGAGGGAAGUUAGGGCUUUCGCUUUCUCCCCCCACUCCAGCGGCGGCGUUCGGUCCUCUGGGUGGAAUGUGCUCGCAGCAGCAGUGACGGCGGCCACAGCACGGGAGGCACCCGAGCCAUACACCCUGCAGCUGGAGAGAAAAGGAUGGCCGAGGUGGGAGAGACUAGAGUGAACCAGCAGGAGGAAGUCCCAGGGCCGCGAAGCUACGACGGAGAUCCGUCCUGGAAAAGCCUUCUCCACCCUGGGCACUUUAAGCGGCGGUGGCGGCAAACGGCAGGAGGUUGCAGACCCGACAGCGAGACUCCCUCAUUCCAGUCUUGCUCUGCCCUCCGGAGAUGACAAGUGAGAAAGAAGUGUCCGGCCGGGCCAUCCCCUUCAGGUAGAUGAAGCUCUGGGUUUGCUCCAUAUCCCAAGGGGGAGAGCCGAAGUGCGUAUGUCCGAGCGCGUGUGCAUGUGUGUGCGCGUGUGUGCGUGUGUGUAUAUACACAGGCUUCGGGUUUAGAUUGCCAGGGCUACUCCAGCUGCAUUGAGGGACUGAAACUCCCAGAGAAAGGCAAAGGAGAGGGAGCGCGCGAGGAGGCAGGAAAGGCGGGAGGGAGGGGAGCGACUGAGCGGCAGAGGCAGGCACUGGGAGAUUAGAGAGCUUUUCUCCGCUCUGUCACACCAGACACCCACAGCCACAGAGGGGGUUGCUGAGCCGCCUGCAAGAAGUACAUUGUAAAUCUUCAGCGCAACAAGCCCCGCAGUCACCCCUCUUCCUGACUCCUUAGCCCCACCGCGCUCCAGGGAGAGAUCCUUGGAGCCUUUGGCUAUUAACAUAGAGAGCAAAAGAAGAUCCUGCUAGGGAGAUGUGGCUGUGUCAGAUUUCACAUCAAGCUCGCCAGAGGAUUUGGAGGAUUGUAUGUAAAUUGAAAUAAAUUCUCCAAAACCUGACUACAUAUAUUACAUUAUACUGUGCGAUGUGUCCAGGUGUGCAGUACUAAAAUAAUGUUAGCAAUGAAGCAUUAAAAUCCUCCGGAAGUAAAGGCCAAAGCAAGGUGAUGUUUUCCCCAUAGGAUAAUUCCCAUCUUUAGAUUGGAGAAACGAUUAACACACAAUGUCUACAGUGUAACAUUCAGGACCAAAACCCUGAGACUGAGAAAAGCUGGGCUUAUUAGAACGGUGAACGAAUACAUUCCAUGAUUGGUCAGUUUUUCAUUUCACCUAGCCAUAAUUACUUUCUUGCAGCUUUCCAGUGUUACCAUGAACAUUGUUUUAACUUUGUUAGGAUAGUUAUCAAUAGACCAGUUUGCUGACAGCAGGCAGCAUCAAAAUAGGUUCAUAGCCCAUUGGCUGGUUAUGGACUCUUGUCUGAGUAUAUUGGAGUUUAAAAUUAUACUGCAGAGUAUGUAUAAGUAUGUGGGAUAUCCAACCUUCAGAAUUUGUGCGAAGAACUCUAAUUGGAACAAUAUUCAGAAAACAGCCACCCCAAAGGUGACAUCUAGGAAGCAGGAGUCUCCAGUGUUUAGUAAAACAAAGUGUGAUUGGCUUCUGGGUUAAUUAAAAAAGUGAAUAAUAGAAAAUUAGGUAAUUCCUUUUUACAUGUUUCUUUCAUGUCUUCAAAUCUUGAAGGCAUUUUACAAAUCAUGUCCAUAGCUAUUUUCUUACAAAAAGAACUGGUUAAUGCUUCUGGCUUUGGAGUACUGAAAAUAGACAAUUAAAAUAUUGUGUUUGGCUUUAAAAGCAUGACCAAAGAGAAGAGACCAAUUACACAUUAACCUUAGCUUGAUAACCACUAAAAACACAGCCCUGCUCGAGGAAGCCCUUUUUCAUUUAUCCCCAGAUGGGAUACAUGCUCAAUGCCAUGCAUUCUAAAUGUCCAUUUGAAUCAUUUUUAAAUGAUGAUGAAAAUAAGUGCCAGGGUGGGAUUUUUUAAGCAUGUUGUAUGUGGGCCGUUAGCAACAGACCAAGGGAAAUGCCACAUUCUGUUCAAGUUACUUUUUUCUGCUCUGUUUUUAAAUGUCUGUACUCUUGCUGUCCAUAUGUAUCUGGCUGUAUGCAUUUUAAGAGUUGAGGAGUUGGGGUUCAUUGGUUUGUUUUCACAGAAUCAGGAACUAUAGUGCAAGCAAGUAAGAGGAGCCCUGCGAUCCUCAGCAGGUCACCAGACUUCUCUGACUUUAGGGUUUUAAACUGGUAAUUUAGUAUUACUGAUCCAAUAUCCAUGGAUUGAGUACAUUUGAUUAUCAGAGGCUUCUGGAAUCAUCCCGGGGAGUCUAAGACCCACUGCCUAAAGGAAGAGGUUACCCACUAAGGGAUCUUUAAGACUUUCUCUUUCUAAAACAUUAGUCAAGAAAAGAUUCAAAGAAGGCUUUUUCUGUUUGUCUUUUUUUAAAAAUGUGUACAAAUUUGUGGGAUACAUGAGAAAUUUUGUUACAUGCACAUAAUAUGUAGUGAUCAAAAUCAGGGUAUUUAAGGUGUCCAUCACCUGAGUACAAUACAUUUUUGCAAGGUAUAGUCACCCUACUGUGCUCUCAAACAGUGAACAGCCAGAUUCCUUCUGUCUUGCUGUGUGUUUGUACCCUUUAACCCAGUUCUCUUCAUCUUUCCCCUUUCCCUCACUCACGGUUCUCAGUCUGUUAUCUCUUUCCUCUCUUUACCUCCAUCUGUUCUUCUUUGUAUUUCACUAAUGUGUUUAUGUACUUCUGAAAAUUACUACAAGGAAAGUCUCAAAUAUUUCAGAAUUAAAUAAUACAUUUACCAAUUAAUAAAGUCUCUACUAACUGUGAUUAAAUUAGUAAAUGGAUUAUUUUUUCAGACCCAAGUGGAGUGGACAUAAGAUUAUUAAUAUAGAAUGGACACAACUUACUAGCUCAUGGAUUCCCCUUAAAUGUAACUUUGCAUAAUAAAACUUACUAUCAAGAUCAAGUAGGUAAAUAUUUCUUCCUUUCAUAUCAGUGUUACAAAGGUCUUCAGUGAGUUUUAUUUUUUUAAUUUCUGAAAAUAUAUAGCACGCU